Molecule: long non-coding RNA, 5721 nt
Organism: Panicum virgatum (switchgrass)
Lineage: Eukaryota; Viridiplantae; Streptophyta; Magnoliopsida; Poales; Poaceae
Exons: 3
Source: RefSeq, a predicted model, not a curated record
UCCCUUACAUAAAGAAAUUUUAUGCCUAUAAUAAUAAGAUGAAGAAUUAUUAAUAUUAUUUUCAUGUUAUGUUCUACUUUGUUUCUGCCCAAAGGUGAUGCAAAGUAGAAUAAUUAAAGUUUUACAAAAUUAUCAAUUAAAAUAUCCCUAUUGAUGAUGUUUUGUAUUUAGCCAUAAUUUUCUUAGCUGUUUUAAGUACCCUCAAUAAGAAACGAGCUAAGUUUACUGAUAGAUUAUUUUUGUGAGGUCAUGAAUACUUAUUACGUGAAUAAACGCAAUAAGCUCCUAUUAGAGAAGCAUUGCUAAUUAAGAAAUUGAUAAGAAAUCUAUGAAUUUCUUGUCUAUUAACAACUAAUGGGAGGAAAUUAAAUUAAGCUAUCUUAUGAUCGAUGCCAGUAAAGAUCUGGGGGAGCAAAUCCCUUAGUCCAAUUAUGUUGUAAUUUCUCUGGCAAUAAUGGAGAAGUAAUUCUCAAAGCCUAAAGAUCAUAAGAAUAAAGCUAAGGAAUAAAGGGUCAUUGGAACCUUCUGAGUUCAUUUUAUUAUGUUGCCAAUCAUAAAGCAUUAUGAUUGAAGCUCAAACAAAUUUGUGCUCAUAAGAAAGAUUGGCAAAGUAAGAUAAAGCAUUACAGGUAUGAUGAUUAUUAUGACCUCAUAAAUAAGAAAGUUUAAGGUGAAGCCUUAAAAAUAAGGCAAAAUAAGGAAUGAAGGUUAAUGUUAGGUUAUUGGAAAUCUUUUUCAUAAAGUUAAGUUAGCAUCCUUCAUCCUAAUAAUGUGAAAUAUUUGUUAUGAAAGUUCAUCGAAAUAUGACUCUAUCGCUUAGUCCAUAUUUCGAGGGGGAGAGUUGAACUUCCCACUAUUAAGAAUAAAAGAUUUAUCAGGUAUGUCUAUAUUUUGUUUCUUUAAGUAAUUCCUUUACAUGAUUAUGUUAUGAAAGAUACUAAAAUUUGAGACACUUAUGUAUAUGUGGAGAUUUUGUAUUUAGUAUCUUGAUUUUUGUUAUUUAGCUUCCAUUAUGUUUUAGAAGGAAUAUAGUUACUAAUAUUGUUUAAAUAUUUCAUUGAAUCUAAAGUUUUAGUUAAUGACAUUAAGAGUUAUUAAGAAUGAGUGUUUGUUUUAAGACAAAAGUGAUUAAAGUAUAAUUAGAUUUAUCUUUUAAUGUUAAUGGCCUAAGUUAGCCAUCUUUUAAUAAUAAGCCUCACAUAAGUUUUAAGAAUCCUUUCUAUCUCAUGGAAGGAAGUUUGUAAUUUUCUAAUACUUAUGCUAAGUUUCUUUUAAUAGAGACAAUGCCUAAAUAUCACUAUAAAAUGAAAUAAUGAAAGGCACAAUCUUAUGUUCAUUUGGUAAGAUUCAUGUAAAAUAAGGAAUCAAUUAUUAUGAUAAGAUAUAUUAAAGGAAAGAAGUAUUUAUUACUGCACAUUAUUUAUUGAGGGUAUUAGCUUAUGAUGAACUAAAGUUCAAUAAGAAAUUUGGAUUAGUCAACAUCUUGUUGACAAUAAGCAAUAGGGAUAUUGUAUAUUAUAAGGAAUGAGUUUUAUCCUCAGGGAGUUAAAUUUAUUCUUGGUGAUGUUCCUUACGUUAUUUGAGUAUUAAGAUUCACCAAGAUUGAUCCAGAAAAUGGGAAUAUUAAGUAUUAUCCCCAAAACUAUAUUUACUCCCAUUAAGGGCAAUAAGUUCUCUUAUGUUGUGGCAGACAUAAGUGAUGUAUAUACCUAAGUUAUGAUAUGCCCUUAAAUUUUAAAGACCGAGAUAUCUGGCAAACAUGAGUCUAGGACUGGACCCCUAGAAAAUUGUCUAGAAUGCACUGCCUGUUGGCAUAAGUGCUAAAGAAGUUUUGUGCUAUAAGUAUAGCACUAAGGGAUUACAUGCUCACUUUUAAGAAAGUCUGGUAACCACCAAGUUAUGGGGUGUUCAGACAAUAAUGUUUCUUAGUAAAGGUGCAUUAAUGUCCACAAAAGUUGCACCCUUGUAGGGGAGCCAUAUUGUGGAAUGGCUUCACCCAACUCAGAACAUCAUUAAAGAUGUAGAUUAUUUUGUGGUAUGUUUAAUCCCAAAAACUGAUAUAUGGGUUUUUGUCCCUAAUCCAUAUUAUUUUUUGAGAAAAUAAGGGUUUUCUUAAGAAAUUUAUCCCGAAACUUAUUAUGUAAAGAGUGCAGUUUUAUUCGAGUAACAUGUCAAAGGGUAUUGCCAGGCCCAAGACAUUGUGAAAGAAUUAUUCCAGAAUCAAACAUUACAUGUUUCAUGGCCUUAAUGAUGUAUUAAGAUUUUAAGUUUUACUGCUCAACAAAUAAGUAUUGAAGAUAUAAGUGUUGAGCAUUUUAUAAGACUAAUGUUGAUGCUCAGUAUAUGUAAGAGUUAAGUAUUAAGAUACAAGUGCUGAGUAUCAUAAUUUAAAAGGCUUGCCUUACAAAGAUUGCCGGCAUAAAGAUUAAAUGGCAGCCUAUUAUUCAGGGACAAACUAUGAUUCUAGAAUAUGUUUGAUUUUCAAUUUUGAAGUGCGCACAUAAAGUUCAUAAGAAUAUAUGAAUGUAUAUGAAAAAUAAACUGCACUCUGGGAAUAAUUGUAGGGCGAUCUCCCCAUGAGCCUAAGCGGAAUCAUUUUGAUUUUGAAUGGGAACCAUGGUCACUUAGUCCUGUGGUACUUAAUUGACUACAGUGAUUGAUUGGUCUGGUGUACCUUCUUUUGAGAAAUGAGUCCAUAAGUUUUAUAUAAAGAAUAAAGAAUAAAGAAUAAGUUAUGGAGCUCCUAAGUUAAAGAAAUUCAUUUGAUAUGAGAUGGCAUACUAUAGCAACUGGGUUCAAUGGUAUGUGAUUCACCAUUGUAAUGCUUUUGUCUUGGUGCGUCAUUUUGUUGAGAAGUGAAUUUAUAAGUUUAGCCUUAUGAUCAAGGGGGAGAAUGUUGGGUUGAUCAUGUCGGCUGUGACAUCAUUAUUAAGUUGAUUAUGUCAGCAAUGACAUCAUCAUUAACUAACUACAGCUGUCAAUAAGAAGUCCAAAUUGGAUUUGGUCUCUUGAUUGGAGAGCACUAGAAGACCCUACAUGGAGUUAUCCCCCUAUGGUGCUGUGUAUAAAUAAGGGGCUGAGGUCUUUCUAAUGGUUAUGGAUUCUAUGAAACAAAAAUUAGACAACUUCAGCCAAAAACUACCCAAUCACAGUUUCUACACAGAAACCAUGGGAAGGACUCUCCUCUACCGAUCCACACGUCCUAGAAGCAAGAACAGAAGGAGUAACACAGAUGGGAGCUCAAGUUGUGCAGGAAGAAAAUAACUUGAUUCAAGCUACAAUCCUGCAUCUUGGUAAGUUUUUUUUAUACAUCCUAACUACUGUUCAUUACUUGAUCAUCAGACAUGUCAGCAAUAUUACUUAUCCCUGGUUGCUGCUUGCUUUUAGAAAACUUCAAUAUAUGAUAUAGAUUACUGGAUAUGGAUUCGAUGUGUCUCUACUUAAUUAUACCCAUACUUAACCAGGCUGCACAUUAAUGAUAUUACCUACUACUAAUUAGCUCCUUUGUUAAUAGAGUCCUAUGUAGUAUCUCCUGCUAUAGUAUGCACAUCGAAACCUUAUAUUGUUAUUUAUUCAGAUACUUGGAACUUCCUAAGGAUGAUCAGCAUGACUAGCAGGCCAAUGAUUCCUUUCCAACAAACAAAUUGUUUUACACUAUCUGCUGCUAUUUGUGAAUCGAGUAUUCUUGAGAUAGCUUCGAUGACAAAAAUCCCAACAUUGACUAUUACACUAUUGGUACAAACAAAUAAUGAGACUCCAUAUAUUUCUUCAUUCAGUUUUCCUUUUUUUCCCUUAAAAUAACUCAAUGUUGAAAAGUUAGCACUAUUGGUACUAACAAAUUCUUUUGUCAUUUUCUUGGUUCAUUUGGCACUUCGACCAAAGCUUCAGUUAGCAUCUUCUACGUGCAUCAGAUGCAUAAUAGUUCGUUCAGUUAAGUGUAUUGUUGAAAAGUUCCUAGAUUUUUUUUUUGAUGGUCAGAUAGGUGCAGAUCCAUUUAAUCUGUUUUUAGCAUAUUAUAUUUAUCAAAAUUGAUAUUCCAGGCAGUCUUGUUGCAUUUUAGUAUAUUAUUCAAUACUUUAUAAGUUUGACUACAGAUUUUAGGAUGAAUCUUAUUCUAUUCUUGAUUAUCAUAAAGGAGUACUUUAUGGCUAUUUAAUUUACAAGGGCAUAUGAGCAGAGCCAUUGCAGACCAUUUUCUUUGUUAACUUUGCUACACUUUACUGGUUCUCACAGUUCAUGAUGGAUUGUAAGGCAUUCAUGAUAGGGAAUGGGAAAUAACCUGUAAAAAGUAUUAAAAUCUUUUCCUGGCAGUUGAUUCUCAAUGUUGCAAUAGCUGAUAGGAAGUAAAAAAUGUUGAAAUCUUUUCUUUCAGCUGCAAAAAAUAUACUAAUUUAUCUACUGAAGUGCAAAAAAUGUUGAUUCUCAAUGUUGCAGUAGCAAAUAAGCAUUCACACGAUCAAGUCUACCACUUGCCCUGAGAAAGAGAGGCCAGCAAAAAAUGCAAGUGCUUGAGGUUGCACCGGUAGUAGUGGUGUAAAUAUAUAUGUCUAUUUUUUUACUGAUAGUGCCAGGUAAGUUCUUUUUGCUGUGUAUGACACCCAAUUAAUCAUUCAAUUGCUGGUUUUCUCAUACUUUGUUUAUAAAUUGCUAUGGUGAAAAUAUAUAAUGCUCAUCUUGUUCGGUAGAAAACCUUCAUAUUUCUUAGUUUUAAUGAUGUGCAGAUGAAACAAUUCUUAUGAAUCACCCUACAUUGCUAUGGUGAAAAUAAAGCAUUUAGUUUAGUAACUAAGUGCAUGUGGCACGUGCACCUCCACUAGUUACAUACAAGGAGUCAUUGGAAGUUUAGUCUGUUCAAAGUAUUUUUUUUUGCUUGUGUUACUAUUACGGUCUUAGUGGAAGUUUCAGUUGUACUAGUGGCCCCCUGUAGCUGCUUCAACCAUUUCUUUACUGGAUUAUCUUGUUCACUAAAGAUGUUCUUUUCUAUGUUGAGACAUGUUUGCUGAUAGUAACUAAGUAUCUUUUGGACUGAGCAAUGUUUGUUGGUAUGUGUUAAUCAUUUGGCAUGCUUCUUUACUAUCUCAAGGCCCUUGUGAAAAGCACAAACUGAAGCAUCACCACCUCACUUGCCUAACUUUUGCAUUUACAGACUCCUAAUGCAUGUUCAUUUCUGUAAUUUGUGUUGCUAGUUGAUCUGAUUGCUAACUGUUGCUAGUUAAUCCUACAGGUUUUUAUUCCCCUUUUCUGUUUUUUACCCCUUUGAUCAAACAAGCCUUCACUACCCCCAAACUAACUAUAAUUUUUUUUAUUGAUUCACAGGGAGCUAAGAUUCAUCAUACUUUCUCUUCUGAGAACAGCAUUAGCUUAUGUGUUGGCUGCCCUCGAGAAAUUUGCUGUUUUGUUCCUAAGGUAAAUGGUGUCAGACCAAAUGUUUGACAAAAUGCUUGAACCACAUAGGAGAGGCAACGACUAUCAUCUUGCUUUGUUUACAUGAGCUUUUUUAUUUUUCAAGGUAACAUUCCUAUCCAGACUGUCCUAUAGUUGCUCUACUACCUCUUGCUGGUAUAUGGCUAUAGAUUAAACUGGUUGAUAAAUAUAUCAUCUUCAAUUUGCUAAUGGCUAAUCUCCAGUUUUCUUCGUUGUGUAUUUCUGGGUGGCCAUGACUUCCUUUUUUUAGACAUGUGCCCAUAACUUAAUAGUUUGACCUAUUAUGCCAUUCAUUUU